GGUUUGUCCAUUCUGGGCUACUGUAGAAAUGUGGCGGUGCAACAUGGCAGCUCCGUGGAAGAGAACCCGCUCCCUCGGUAGACAUAAAGGGCUCAUUCUAAGGAUAGCCCUUUUUAGAUCACUUUCAAUCUUGUGCUUAAGGCUGCUAAAGCUCAAAGUAUUUUUGCCAAUGACGAUGGGCGCAGUGGUUUUUCUCUGUCCACCUGACCUGGGGUCCGCUGUCUGAGCUGCCACCUCCCCCCACCGACCGCAGGUGAAGAGGAAAGUGGCGCUGAUCCCUCUCCAGCAACUCCUCACGUUCACAAAACUUGAGAACGUGUUCAAGAAUUGCAUGAGUUUUGCUUUUUUAUGUCUUCGUGGUCUUUGCCAAAAAUUACACAGUAGGCCUACUCAAACUCAAUGUAGUUCUUUCACAGUCAGUUCAAACAACAUUUAAAAAAAAAAUUCCAGCAGAAACUCUUCUCGGAGCUCUAACAUCUCACUUAGCUGACGCUUAACAUUUGAAAAAUAACACAACCGAUCGGUGAUGUAGUAGCUAACUGUUAGCCACUAGCUAACCUAACUGUCUACUGGCCUCACACACCAGUGUUUUAUCAUAUUUUCUCAAAGCCAGUGAGUCUUUCAUCGUGAGGUAAUAUAUCAGUGGAAGCUCCAAACUGUUACACCAUUCAGACGGGACGACAUUAGUGGUGAAGAAAAAUGUCCAUUUUUAUUUCUUCACCUGCAAGACUCAACAACCUCAAACUACCAACAGACACUGGUCUUCUACUAUAUGGCCUGCAGUAAUGUACUCUGCCACCUGCUGGUAUUUGCUCAGAGGCAGGGUCUCCCUCUCAAGACACAAAGAUUAUAGGUGUGACAUGCUUGUUUGGCGAUGGACCAAUGUCUGAUUUCCUGAAAAUAGAUUAUGGAGAGUGUAGGUGGACCAAAGGAGUUUGUCAAAAUGCUCUAUGAUGUAUGAAGACUAACUGUACAGAGUUCAUGUCUGUCUAAAGACAAUUCUGUCAAUAAAAAAAGUGGCUGGCCGCUGCUCAUUGUGUCUGGCAGGUCAGAGCUCACUCACAAUGAUGUGUUAAACAACAAUGAUCAGCAUGUAGCAGUUGUUCCCUUUGCCCCUCUUGACUGUAAACUGUUGCCUUUUUAAAGGACUUUCCCCUGUUCUUAUGAAGUAGAUUAACUGCCAGGCUUUGUGUUGAGCUACUUAAUCUGCAGUUGUGUCAUUUCCCUGAUGUACAGAUGUAGGACCUUCAUCGUGGGAACCUACGUACCAGUCAGUAGAUUUGAUGAAGCCUUUGUGGUCAACAGGAAAACCACAGCUGCCUUCGACUUUGUAAAUCGAGACAUCUUGUGACCUUAAGAUAACCGAGAA
Long non-coding RNA from Thunnus maccoyii (southern bluefin tuna), 1369 nucleotides. RefSeq lists it as uncharacterized. The transcript is spliced from 3 exons. Lineage: Eukaryota; Metazoa; Chordata; Actinopteri; Scombriformes; Scombridae. The record is from RefSeq and is a predicted model, not a curated record.